GGGCGAUCCAUGUUCGCGCGAUCGGACGGCCCAGAUUCACGGGUACGGACGGUUCAGAUUCAAUCAGGCACGGACAGCUUAGAUUGCAUCGCGAUGGACGACCCAGAUUUAAUCCCAAUUAAAUCGCGAUCGAACGGUCCAGAUUUAAUCUUGAUGGACGGUUGAGAUUAAAAGACAAAGGGUAUAAAUAACCCCACCCACACCUGAUCACAAAACCCUAGCCGCAAGUGCCUCAUCGGAGAAGAAGAACCAGACGCCGGAGGAGCCGGCUGCCGCCACUCGCCGCCGUACCGGGGAAGUUUCAGACCGCCGAUCGAGGUAAAUUUUCUCCCCCUUGCUCGGUUUUCGAUGCUGAGUCCGCCUAUGGCCAAACCGAAGCCAAACCACCGACCAAACGCCCAAAAAACCCAGCCGAAGUCCAGCAGCGACGCCGCGCCCGCCCUCUAUUUUUGCCUCCGAUGAGGCCCUUCCCGGCCUCCGUUCGAUGCAAAUUUUAUACCACUGUGAUCACCGUUCUUUUCUCUACAGGUUGAUCGGAGCCAAACAUCAAAACACGACUCACGCC
RNAcentral lists this long non-coding RNA (565 nucleotides) under Carica papaya (papaya). RNAcentral describes it as "long non-coding RNA (CPAP_LNC014974)". The record is from RNAcentral. Lineage: Eukaryota; Viridiplantae; Streptophyta; Magnoliopsida; Brassicales; Caricaceae.